UGGGGGAUAUUGCACAAUGGGCGAAAGCCUGAUGCAGCGACGCCGCGUGGGGGAUGAAGGCCUUCGGGUUGUAAACUUCUUUUGCUCUGAACAAGGCAUGCCUUUGGGUUGUGUUGAGUGUAGGGGUUGAUUAGCGCCGGCUAACUACGUGCCAGCAGCCGCGGUAAUACGUAGGGCGCGAGCGUUGUCCGGAAUUAUUGGGCGUAAAGGGCUUGUAGGUGGCUGGUUGCGUCUGUCGUGAAAGCUCAUGGCUUAACUGUGGGUUUGCGGUGGGUACGGGCUGGCUUGAGUGCAGUAGGGGAGGCUGGAAUUCCUGGUGUAGCGGUGGAAUGCGCAGAUAUCAGGAGGAAUACCGGUGGCGAAGGCGGGUCUCUGGGCUGUUACUGACGCUGAGGAGCGAAAGCGUGGGGAGCGAACAGG
Molecule: ribosomal RNA, 420 nt
Filed under: Fusobacteriota bacterium
Lineage: Bacteria; Fusobacteriati; Fusobacteriota
Description: Fusobacteria bacterium partial 16S ribosomal RNA
Rfam family: Bacterial small subunit ribosomal RNA
Source: RNAcentral